AAAGGAUUAUCCGUGUUUGUCCUUAGAAAAAGAGGCCAUAUGCUGCUGGCGAGUGUGGUGGGAUGUAUUUAUAUUGGAUACAGCCUGGAGCCCUGCACUGGAGCUUCUUACUGCCAGGAGAGCUAGUGUGGUGGAGGGGAGAAGCGGUGAAGCCAUUUCUAUCCCAGCAUGCCCAGCAUUUCAGAGAUGACAAGGAAAAUCUUCAUUACCAUUUCAAGAACUGGGAACAAAGAAAAAUCCCGUUCCAGGACGCAAAGGAGGAGAUGCGGGUAGCUGAACAGAAACUUUUGAAGAUUACCAUGGGAAUACACCUGUGAACUUCCAGGUUUGAUCUCAGUUACUCCCUUACUUGAAGAAGGCUUCGAUGAUUCCUCAUGGAGAAAUCCCAGAUACUUCUGCACAUGAUUCAGAGGUCCCUUACAACUGGCUUCAGCCUGCCUUCCAAGCCCUGUCUCUCGCCUCUCCCUUCCUUCACACUGUGCUUCAGCGAGGUAGGAAUGCUUGUGAUUCACCUUCCAGGUCAAGAUGAUUGGCCCCUCG
RNAcentral lists this long non-coding RNA (540 nucleotides) under Homo sapiens (human). Its description in RNAcentral is "non-protein coding lnc-ITGA6-1:9". Lineage: Eukaryota; Metazoa; Chordata; Mammalia; Primates; Hominidae. The record is from RNAcentral.